This 286-nucleotide long non-coding RNA is filed under the name Pelobates cultripes (western spadefoot toad). Lineage: Eukaryota; Metazoa; Chordata; Amphibia; Anura; Pelobatidae. The record is from RNAcentral.
UUAAAGUGGCACUGUCAUGCCGAACUUACCUUUCCUCAAUCUCUUCCUCUUCUCCCCCUCUCUCUGGAUCUGUUAUUCUUUUCUUCCUGUCUUCUUUAGUUUUCUUUAAAAUCAUAAGACAAAGUAGUGACUCUUUGCCUUAUGGAGGAUUCCUCCGCUUGACCAGCUCUGACCAGCGGAGGAGCAAAGUGUGCUUCAUUUCCGCUGGUCAGAGCAAUUUUCCCAUGAUCCUUACCUUUCCUCUGUGUUCCCGCGAUGCUUCCUGUCACUUUACACGAAACUGCCG